UAUCAUUAGCCUAAAUUUUAAAAACGGGGAAACCAAUUUUUGGGGUGAAUCGCAUAAUAUAUGCGUAGGUUUGUGCCUUUACCGAAUCCGUCAGCUAACCUCGUAGAAUAAAAGGAGGAAGA
Molecule: small RNA, 122 nt
Filed under: Clostridium acetobutylicum
Lineage: Bacteria; Bacillati; Bacillota; Clostridia; Eubacteriales; Clostridiaceae
Also listed under: 1 other name
Description: c-di-AMP sequence
Rfam family: c-di-AMP riboswitch aptamer (ydaO/yuaA leader)
About the family: This family represents a conserved RNA structure found upstream of the ydaO and yuaA genes in Bacillus subtilis and related genes in other bacteria. The ydaO/yuaA element is thought to act as a genetic "off" switch for the ydaO and yuaA genes in its native state.
Source: RNAcentral